GACGAACGCUGGCGGCGCGCCUAACACAUGCAAGUCGAACGGAGCUGAGAGAAGCUUGCUUUUCUUAGCUUAGUGGCGAACGGGUGAGUAACGCGUGAGUAACCUGCCCUGGAGUGGGGGACAACAGUUGGAAACGACUGCUAAUACCGCAUAAGCCCACGAUCCGGCAUCGGAUUGAGGGAAAAGGAUUUAUUCGCUUCAGGAUGGACUCGCGUCCAAUUAGCUAGUUGGUGAGGUAACGGCCCACCAAGGCGACGAUUGGUAGCCGGACUGAGAGGUUGAACGGCCACAUUGGGACUGAGACACGGCCCAGACUCCUACGGGAGGCAGCAGUGGGGGAUAUUGCACAAUGGGGGAAACCCUGAUGCAGCGACGCCGCGUGGAGGAAGAAGGUUUUCGGAUUGUAAACUCCUGUCGUGAGGGACGAUAAUGACGGUACCUAACAAGAAAGCACCGGCUAACUACGUG
This 468-nucleotide ribosomal RNA is filed under the name uncultured bacterium. RNAcentral's name for it is "partial 16S ribosomal RNA". It matches the Rfam family "Bacterial small subunit ribosomal RNA", at positions 28 to 507 of the family's 1533-position model. The record is from RNAcentral.